Molecule: long non-coding RNA, 342 nt
Filed under: Vitis vinifera (wine grape)
Lineage: Eukaryota; Viridiplantae; Streptophyta; Magnoliopsida; Vitales; Vitaceae
Description: long non-coding RNA (VVIN_LNC000166)
Source: RNAcentral
AGAGCGAAGGGGAUUGGGGGUUGGAGGAGGAGAUUUUGGAGUUCAUGAAGAAAUCUGAGAGACCAGAGGCGUUUCCCUCCAGGAAAGAGUUGGUUGAUGGUGGGAGGAUGGAUUUGGUGGAGGCUAUUGUUGAGAAAGGUGGGUGGUUAUCCUUGGGUUGGGAUUUGGAUGCUGAGGAAGGGGUGCUUGAUGAUGAUGAUGAUGAUGAUGGCCGCCAUGUUACUGAUUGGGAUUUGAUUAUGCGGAAAGCAAAUGAUGGCGAUUUGGUCUGUGGCGAUGGCGGUGGUGAAGCCAAUGAUUUGGAGGUAGAUGAAAUUCGUGUUUCGGGGCUUUUAGAGGCCG